AGCCACACCUGUGGCAUAUGGAAGUUCCCAGGCCAGGGGUCAAAUGGAAGCUGCAGCUACAGGCUUACGCCACAGCCACAGUAAUACAGGAUCCAAGCUGCAUCUUUGACUUAACACCAUUGGUGGCAAUGCCAGAUCCUUAAACCACUGAAUGAGGCCAAGGAUCAAAUCCAUAACCUCAUGGAGACUAGUUGAGUUCUUAACCUGCUGAGCCACAAUGGAACUCUGGUCAUUUAUUCCUUUAGCACACACAUAAAAAUUUCUUCUACUUCCCUAUGUCUGUGUAGUUAAGAUUUGCUAAGUAUUUACGUCCGCUUACAACAAUAGUCCCAAUUUCCUGACUUUUCAUAGGAGUGACUUCAAAGCAGUUCUUAGAUUGGCAUGCCUUGGUUUAUUAUUCAUUUUCAGAGCAUCCUUGGAUGUAGGUAAGGGACUAGCAUUUUAUCUUUAUCCUACACAAUUAAAACUGAGAGUAUGAAGGGAUGAUGGGGCUUGCCCCCAAAAGACAAAGACAUUAACUAUUAUUAUGAAACUUGGCUUAGUACUCAGAUCUCCUUUAAUACAGGAGGGUGUUUUCCCCUGAGAUUAUGCUUCCUUUACAUAUCUUUAAACUGGGAAGCCUACACCAGACAAAUCCCAAGAAGAUUUUUGGAGGUUGGGUUAACAUGACCCAGUUCUGAGGCUGUGAAGACAGGGAAGCCAGGCUGAGAAAACUGUGCAUGUUUUGUGAUAUUUAGUGAGCAUCAUGCAACCACUGCUAACAGAUCAGCCAAAUAAAGCUGUGUAAGAAAAGGUGAGAAAUGGGAGUGCUUUUUAACACACUUCUGCUCUGGCCCUGAGUUUUGUGUCUUUGCCUCAUGCCCGCCCAACUGGAGCUCUUCCAUGUGUCACUGGAGCUGCUGUCGCAGGAACCAGAAGACUAGCUUCUCCAGCAGCCAACCAGGGGUAGGUGGCUUUGUGCAAGGAGGCUGCAGAGGAGAAUGUCCAGUUGUACUGAACCAGUCACACUUGUGACACGGGAACAGUACAUUCUUCAAGAAUGAAGCCAUUCAAAGCCCUUUGCUACCAAAGUCACAAGGAGGCAUUUGGAUUCCCACAGUCACCUCUCUCAAACUUGACUUGAGCCGCCACAGCCAAGUCACUUUGUUUCCACUGUAGCUCACAUUACGGGUGGCAGGUUCCACCUGUUUCAAUAUUUGGUUGAUGACGAAAGUGACCCUUGAGAGCGGAGUGACAUGGGCAGCUGAGCAGACUUCCAAACCAAUUGUGGGAAAAACCAAGAUAACCUGUACCCUAUAAAAGAGAUUAUGAAGACAAAUAAGGCCAAAAGAGGGUGCUGUGAGAAGUUUCUAUGUCUAAACUCUUUCUUGGGGUUAAUCAGUGUUGGGUGAGGGGUCAGUUUAAAGAGCAGAAGAAGCGGGCAUACGCUUAAGUUACAGAGGAAAGAAUGAAAAUCAGAUACAGUAAUGCUAACUCAAGAGGAGAAAGAAUAGACUUUGUAGAUUUCUGAAGCAGACACCUGGAAGCAAGACAGCACAACAAGUCCUUUUACUACUAGAAUGCUCUACAAGGAAGUAGGCGCAUCAGAGAGAGAAGGAGACACAAAAUCCUUUGCCAUCUUGAAAUACUCCUCCUCUAUGUCCCCUCAUCCUUGCCCUCCAGGCAAACCCCGCCUCUCCUCCAUGCUGUGCAUUAAUUGCUCUAUUCAUGAAUGUAAUGCCAGGACCAGAUUUCUCCCAACACAGCUUUUCACCCCACUCAACUUCUCAAAAGCCCUACCCCUUCCCAACCACCUCUCGAGAGUGGAUGAAGUGAUUGCUUAAGAUGAUUUAAGCACUGGGGAGAAUUUGACCAGCUCUCCUCCAUUUUAAGCUUGCCAUUCCAAAGAAGUGGUAGCCAGCUCAUGCAGACACUGGGGAAAACAUCAAGGUGUGGUAAGCAAGCACUGAAAGAGCACCUCAAAAGAUCUGGGGUCUUAUUUUGCCUUUGCCAUUUGCUUUCUGUGUGGCCUUGUGUCGAUAACUCAACGGCUCUCUGCCUACUUUAUUUCAAAAAGCCUGCCCAUAUUGUCUCUGAUGCAUUCUAAACAACAAGGAAUCAACAGAUGGUCUUUCUUCCUCUUGCAUCGGGUCACUCACAUUAAAGGUUUCUGGAAUGUGCACAUUCUGAUCAUCAGAAUCUCAGAAAAAGACAGUGAGGGGGCAAAGACAGCCCUUUACAAGUGCUUGUAUGAUGUAAACCACAUUCGUCUCUCUCUGAAAUCUCGUCUUUCCCUAAAAGAAUUUACUUUAUAGAAAAAGAAUAAUUUUGUGAUUAAAGAUUAUUUCAAUUUAGGAAUUGUCAGUGAAUUCAAUUUUAUUUUAUAAUAUAGUCGGGGUAAAUGUAUAUCAUGUCGGAAUAAUCGAUGAUUUUCUUGAUGCCUUUCUUCAACUGCUAUAAGCACUGAUAUUUUCAUGACAUUAAAGGCUCUGUAGUUAAACCAGAACAUUAAAUGCUGUCACCAUUCAGCAUUUCCCUGAUUGAGGAAGAUGUUACAGCUGAAUUUUCAUUGGAGGAUGUCUGUGGACUUUUUAUAAUCAUUAAGGCUCAUUACAUUAUUACUAGAUUUUCAUCUUCUAUGAAUCUUUAAGGAUCAAAACAAAAUAUAUGAAGAAAGGAAGGAUGCAUGUGUCGUUAUAGCUCCUUAACAAAUGGGAGAAAUGGUGCAGGAAAAUGGCCAAGUUUACCAUAAAUCACAAAAAUAGGAGUUCCCUUGUGGCUCAGUGGUAACAAAUCCAACUAGGAUCUGUGACGAUGAGGGUUCCAUCCCUGGCUUUGCUCAUUGUGGUUAAGGAUCUGGCAUUGCCAUGAGCUGUAGUGUAAGUCGCAGACAUGGCUCAGAUUCUGCAUUGCUGUGGCUGUGGUAUAGGCCAGCAGCUGUGGCUCAGAUUCGACCCCUAGCCUGGCAACUUCCAUAUGCUGCAGGUACAGCCCUAAAAAAAAUUUUUUUAAAUAGUUGGCAUUGAAGAGGUCACACUGUCUGUCCCUAGCCACCUUAAGUUUUAAAGGAAGCACUCAGAGUUCCUGUCGUGGCGCAGGGGAAACAAAUCCGACUAGGAACCAUGAGGUUGCAGGUUCGAUCCCUGGCUUCGCUCAGUGGGUUAAGGAUCCAGCAUUGCCAUGAGCUGUGGUGUAGGUUGAAGACUCGGCUUGGAUCUGACGUUGCUGUGGCUGUGGUGUAGGCUGGUGGCUACAGCUCUGAUUAGACCCCUAGCCUAGGAACCUCCAUAGGCCGCAGGUGCGGCCCUGAAAAGACAAAAAAUAAAUAAAUAAACAAAUAAAUAAAGGGAGCAUUCUGAGGCCCAUAGAGUUGAAGGGACUUGCCUGAAACCACACAGCUAGUAAGAGAGGCCUCCUUCCCAGACACUGGUCAUAGGUCAGGACAAGAUUUAGAGAGGCCUGAAGUUUAGGCAGACCUGGAUGCAUAGCCUGACUCUACGCUUUGCUAAUGUGUGACCUUGGGCUUCUGCAUCCUACUCUGUAAAACUGUGAAAAUUCCUCAGAAGUGGUUUGUGAGGAUGAAAGGAGAUGGCGCUUUUUUGUUUGUUUUUUGUUUUUUGGUAUUUUUAAAUAACAUAGUGUCUGGACACAGUAAGAGGGUGACGAAGUGGUCCCAGGUAGCACUACCACUGACUGAGCCAGGCUGGGAAAGAAAGAAUAUUUUUGUUCCCUUUUCCUUCAUUCUCCCCUCAGAUAGCCUAAGGGUGCUCUCCUCUUGCCCCUGCCGUCUGCACCACAUCAAGGCGGAGAGUUCCUUGCGUGUUACAAACGGCCUUGCAAGGCCUCACUUCCUGGGUUCUGCAUGCGGGGCUUCCUAACUCUAACUCUCUCUCUCUCUCUCUCUUCCUCUCUCUCGCUCUCUGGCUUUUCACUAAACCACGGCUUUUAAACUCCUCCAAGUCUGUGACUCAUCCACUAGUCCAAACUUGCACACAUUCCUACAAGAAAGAACUCAGAACUCUGCCUAUUAAAUUUCCAGUUACUAAUAAGACAUCAGAUUAGACAUUCAGCUGAGAAUGGCUGAAAAGCAAAACACAAGUGUAUUGAGAGCUCCCCCCAAUACACCCUUUAUUCUUGGCCUCUGUGAGUCCUUUAAUCCAUAACAAACAACGCAAAGUGCUACAUGAAAGGUGACAGGGGCGGGAUCCCCAGUGCUCCUGGAAGAGUUGGGAUAAGCGCUGGCAAACACAGAGUGAGGAGCAUGGAAAUGCCAAGGCAAUCAGGGCUAUAUAAAGACAGAUGCGUCAGUGUUCAGAACAGGGAACAUCUAUAAGACCCAGGGGUUAGCAGAAUGACGGUGGAGAGUGAAGCAAGAUAGCACCUGUUUGGAAAGGCUUCAAGGAAAAGAGUUCUGAAGGGCAGUGGGGUGACAGGCGGACCGCAGAGGUGACAAGAGGGAGCAGAGCGCAGAGGGCAAGGCGAUAACAGAAAGAAAAAGGGAGCAAAGAGCAAAAGUGAGGGUAUUUGCAAACUUCACCAGAACACCUUGCUGCCCACGUGAGCAAAGAGAACCGGAGAGCUGAAUACAUCUGAUUAGAAGCAGAGG
Molecule: long non-coding RNA, 4585 nt
Filed under: Sus scrofa (pig)
Lineage: Eukaryota; Metazoa; Chordata; Mammalia; Artiodactyla; Suidae
Description: lncRNA (ENSSSCG00050034719.1)
Source: RNAcentral